ACUUAUUUAGUAUAAAAGUAUAUUUGACUUCCAAUCAAAAGGAUUGAUUAUUAAUGUCAAAAUAAGUA
RNAcentral lists this transfer RNA (68 nucleotides) under Euphaea yayeyamana. RNAcentral describes it as "tRNA-Gly". It matches the Rfam family "tRNA". From Rfam's summary of the family: Transfer RNA (tRNA) molecules are approximately 80 nucleotides in length. Their secondary structure includes four short double-helical elements and three loops (D, anti-codon, and T loops). Further hydrogen bonds mediate the characteristic L-shaped molecular structure. tRNAs have two regions of fundamental functional importance: the anti-codon, which is responsible for specific mRNA codon recognition, and the 3' end, to which the tRNAs corresponding amino acid is attached (by aminoacyl-tRNA synthetases). tRNAs cope with the degeneracy of the genetic code in two manners: having more than one tRNA (with a specific anti-codon) for a particular amino acid; and 'wobble' base-pairing, i.e. permitting non-standard base-pairing at the 3rd anti-codon position. Lineage: Eukaryota; Metazoa; Arthropoda; Insecta; Odonata; Euphaeidae. The record is from RNAcentral.